RNAcentral lists this ribosomal RNA (815 nucleotides) under uncultured bacterium. RNAcentral's name for it is "bacterial SSU rRNA". It matches the Rfam family "Bacterial small subunit ribosomal RNA", at positions 8 to 802 of the family's 1533-position model. The record is from RNAcentral.
AGAGUUUGACCAUGGCUCAGGACGAACGCUGGCGGCGUGCCUCAAACAUGCAAGUCGAGGGAGGGUUGCUCGGGGGCUUGCCCCCGGGUUCAACUCUACCGGCGAACGGGUGAGUAACACGUGGGUAACCUGCCCUGUAGACGGGGAUAACCUCGGGAAACCGGGGCUAAUACCCGAUACCCUCACCGGAGGGCAUCCUCUGGUGAGGAAAGGUCCGCAAGGUCCGCUUCAGGAUGGGCCCGCGGCGUAUCAGCUCGUUGGUGAGGUAACGGCUCACCAAGGCGAUGACGCGUAGCUGGCCUGAGAGGGUGGUCAGCCACACUGGGACUGAGACACGGCCCAGACUCCUACGGGAGGCAGCAGUCGGGAAUCUUGGGCAAUGGGCGCAAGCCUGACCCAGCAACGCCGCGUGGAGGAUGAAGUCCUUCGGGAUGUAAACUCCGAAAGAAGGGGACGAAUAAGCACGGGCUAAUACCCCGUGCGAUGACGGUACCCUUUGUAAGCCCCGGCUAACUACGUGCCAGCAGCCGCGGUAAUACGUAGGGGGCAAGCGUUGCCCGGAUUUACUGGGCGUAAAGCGGGUGUAGGCGGCCGGGUAAGUCCCGUGUGAAAGCCCACGGCUCAACCGUGGGACGUCGCGGGAAACUGCUCGGCUUGAGGGCAGCAGAGGGUGGUGGAAUUCCCGGUGUAGCGGUGAAAUGCGUAGAGAUCGGGAGGAACGCCAGUGGCGAAGGCGGCCACCUGGGCUGUCCCUGACGCUCAGACCCGAAAGCUGGGGGAGCGAACGGGAUUAGAUACCCUGGUAGUCAAGGGCG